Neofelis nebulosa (Clouded leopard) is the source of this 920-nucleotide long non-coding RNA. RefSeq lists it as uncharacterized. The transcript has 3 exons. NCBI's taxonomy places the organism in Eukaryota, Metazoa, Chordata, Mammalia, Carnivora, Felidae. The record is from RefSeq and is a predicted model, not a curated record.
AGAAGUUUUUUGGAUGAUUCUCAAUGGUUGCCUCUUCCCCUUAACUUAUGCAUCGAGUGUCUUAUCUGUGCACUGUUCGUUGAGAUCUUUGUGUCCAUUUAAAACAUCUUUUACAUGUGGGAUAUGGGAUACAGUAGUGAACAAAAUGUACAUUGAUUCCUACCCUGGUAAUUAGUCUGAUGGACACAGAAUUACAAGUAGAGAAUUGCAAAUCAUAAUCAUUGCUAAAAUAAAAAGGUUUUGACAAAAGGUAUAGGUAUCUUGAUUGAAAAUCAAGUUUCUCUCAGAUGGUAGCGAUAACAUUUUUAUCCAGAGUCCAGAAUUCAUAGGCCUAUUAAAAGGCAUUUUGUUAAAGAGUUUGGGCUUUUUCCUUCAUCCUCUAGGUUGAAAGGUUUGAAGGAGAAAUAGAGGAUUGUACUUGGCAUUUUCCUAAUGAUAAACUACACCAGAGAUUAGGCAAUGGGUGGAUUCUGGUGAGAGAGAUACACAUUUUAAAAACUGGACCAGACUUUAAAAACUUGCCCCUUCACUUAAUAGUUUGCGCCCCAGAUACAGUAUCUCAUUAAAUAAUAUCCUUGAUCAUUUUCACACAUACCCAGGUAGUAUUAGAAUUCAUUUCUUUUCACUGGUUGUGCAUUCCUUAAGUAGCUUUCUGUGAGCCAUGUAAUCUGAUACUAUUAUCCUUUAACUUAGAAAACCUAGAUUUGUAUCCUGCCUCUUCCAGUUAGCCUAGAAGACUAAUUCGGAAUCCACCUGCAUUAACUGCGAUGUAUCGUUUAGACCUUAAUCCACCUGUCUUCAGUAAAGAUAGUAACUUUUGCAUGUAGUUUAGUAAUCAAGGAGAAAAGAUAGGAAUAAAGGUAAAGAAGAAGUGUUCAUAAAUUUCUAGGUUUCUCUAUGCAUUAACUCAUCUUUUCUUC